CCUACGGGAGGCAGCAGUGGGGAAUAUUGGACAAUGGGCGAAAGCCUGAUCCAGCCAUGCCGCGUGUGUGAAGAAGGCCUUCGGGUUGUAAAGCACUUUCAGUGGGGAAGAAAGCCUUGGGGCUAAUACCCUCGAGGAAGGACAUCACCCACAGAAGAAGCACCGGCUAACUCCGUGCCAGCAGCCGCGGUAAUACGGAGGGUGCGAGCGUUAAUCGGAAUUACUGGGCGUAAAGCGCGCGUAGGCGGUCUGAUAAGCCGGUUGUGAAAGCCCCGGGCUCAACCUGGGAACGGCAUCCGGAACUGUCAGGCUAGAGUGCAGGAGAGGAAGGUAGAAUUCCCGGUGUAGCGGUGAAAUGCGUAGAGAUCGGGAGGAAUACCAGUGGCGAAGGCGGCCUUCUGGACUGACACUGACGCUGAGGUGCGAAGGCGUGGGUAGCAAACAGGAUUAGAUACCCUAGUAGUC
This 465-nucleotide ribosomal RNA is filed under the name Vreelandella stevensii. RNAcentral's name for it is "partial 16S ribosomal RNA". It matches the Rfam family "Bacterial small subunit ribosomal RNA", at positions 338 to 795 of the family's 1533-position model. Lineage: Bacteria; Pseudomonadati; Pseudomonadota; Gammaproteobacteria; Oceanospirillales; Halomonadaceae. The record is from RNAcentral.